GAUGAACGCUAGCUACAGGCUUAACACAUGCAAGUCGAGGGGAAACGACAUCGAAAGCUUGCUUUUGAUGGGCGUCGACCGGCGCACGGGUGAGUAACGCGUAUCCAACCUGCCCAUCACUUGGGAAUAACCUUGCGAAAGUAAGACUAAUACCCAAUGAUAUCCCACGAAGACAUCUGAAUGGGAUUAAAGAUUUAUCGGUGAUGGAUGGGGAUGCGUCUGAUUAGCUUGUUGGCGGGGUAACGGCCCACCAAGGCAACGAUCAGUAGGGGUUCUGAGAGGAAGGUCCCCCACAUUGGAACUGAGACACGGUCCAAACUCCUACGGGAGGCAGCAGUGAGGAAUAUUGGUCAAUGGGCGAGAGCCUGAACCAGCCAAGUAGCGUGCAGGAUGACGGCCCUAUGGGUUGUAAACUGCUUUUAUAAGGGAAUAAAGUGGGUCUCGUGAGACUUUUUGCAUGUACCUUAUGAAUAAGGACCGGCUAAUUCCGUG
Molecule: ribosomal RNA, 492 nt
Filed under: uncultured bacterium
Lineage: Bacteria
Description: partial 16S ribosomal RNA
Rfam family: Bacterial small subunit ribosomal RNA
Source: RNAcentral